GAGCGACAAGAGAACUGACCAAUAGAAGUGGGACAUGGCCAACGAGGCGGGAAAACGGCACAUCGAUCACCCUGGGCCAAUUAUGUUCUCCAGUCACGGAUAUUGACAGGUGAAUUCAACGAAUAAUGUGGCGAGAAUUCACAUAGGGCGUUUCACACGAAUUUAUCGGGGGACUGUUUGAGUCCUACGAUUUAGGAGGAAGAGUGACAGGGAUUCUGUCCAAUGGAACGCUAAGGUUGACGGAGAGAGGCGGGAAUAGAGGAAUGAUUGACAACUACCGUAGCUAUAACAACACGGCCAACGAGGAAGCCGCGUCCGGCUCCGUGGCUCAACCUGCGAUGGGCAAAUUCCCCCAGAGGGCGCCGCGGCGCAGACUAGCGUGCGAUUCAUUUGCAUGAUAUUAACAUACGCAAAUAGCAGAGGCCUAAAGUGGCCUGCUCGUGUCAGCAUCCUCAUUGGGAUUACAGAGCAGCUCCACGGAACGCUGCGAGGUGGCAGCUUCAUUAUACCAUGCAAUGACUGAAGUCUUUGAGCAAUUCUUCACAUGCUGGAGCAUUUUUCCUGCAAGUGGGAUCAACUGGACUUUGAGUGAGCUGGGAAGCCCCCAUUCCCCAGUUGGGGCUCUGAAUUACUGAGACUGUGCAAGGAGAAAGCUGGGGCCAUGCCCCAAGCUGAAGGAAAAACUGCCAGGGAAGCACGCUUCCCUCCUGCCUGGACCAGCCAAUAUGCCACAAUAAUGCUCUGGAGGAGAACUGAAUCUCCGUGGCCCUGUCCGUCCUUAGCUCCUCUCCCACGAUUGUUGACAAGACUGCCCAUUCGAGUCAGCCAUGGUCUUGUUUUUGAUGAUGCAGGCACCUGUUCACUGUGAACUGGACUGAGACCAAACUCGUUUCACACAGGGUCAUGAGCUGCUGGACAGUAACCAGAGUUGGUCACGUCACACCUGACCUGAGCCAGGCUUUGCAGAAGAAGCACCUGUUCCCAUCUCAGUUUUACUAUUUACAAUUCUGGGCUAUA
This is a long non-coding RNA of Mauremys mutica (yellowpond turtle), 1017 nucleotides long. RefSeq lists it as uncharacterized. NCBI's taxonomy places the organism in Eukaryota, Metazoa, Chordata, Testudines, Geoemydidae. The transcript is spliced from 4 exons. The record is from RefSeq and is a predicted model, not a curated record.